RNAcentral lists this long non-coding RNA (13981 nucleotides) under Hordeum vulgare. RNAcentral's name for it is "long non-coding RNA (HVUL_LNC012732)". The record is from RNAcentral. Lineage: Eukaryota; Viridiplantae; Streptophyta; Magnoliopsida; Poales; Poaceae.
UCUCAUCACCUAGCGCACAGGGAGGUUGGAUCCAUUUUUUACACUCGCUGCCGGCAUCCAUUCAUCUCCUGCUGCUGCUAGUCACAAUACGCGCAUACGAACACACAAAAAAAAGAAGAAGCAAGGAGGCCAGCGAUCAGACUUGCCCAGGUGAGAAGGUGAGAUAUGAUGAUGGUCUCAUCUCCUUAGUUUCGGCCGCUUGGUUCGGAUCAAGGAGCUCUCUCUUCUCACAUAUGAAAUAUUGUCCUUAGUUUUGGCCGCUUGGUUCGGAUCAAGGAACUCUCUCUUCUCACAUAUGAAAUAUUGUCCUUACUUUCCGCCGCUUGGUUUGGAUCAAGGAGUUCUGUCUUCUCACAUAUGAAAUAUUGUCCUUAGUUUCGGCCGCUUGGUUCGGAUCAAGAAGAUCUUUCUUCUCACAUAUGGAAUAUUGUCCUUAGGUUCGGCCGUUUGGUUCGGAUCAAGGAACAUAAAAUUCACUAAAUUAUGUCCUUCGGGUUCGGACGCUUGGUUCUGAUCAAUGAACAUAAAAUCCACCAAAUCAUAUCCUUAGGUUCGGCCGUUUGGUUCGGAUCAGGGAACAUAAAAUCCACUAAAUCAUGUCCUUCGGUUCGGCCGCUUGGUUCGGAUCAAGGAACAUAAAAUCCACCAAAUCAUAUCCUUAGGUUCGGUCGUUUGGUUUGGAUCAAGGAACAUAAAAUCCACCAAAUCAUAUCCUUAGGUUCGGUCGUUUGGUUCAGAUCAAGGAACAUAAAAUCCACUAAAUCAUGUCCUUCGGUUCAGCCGCUUGGUUCGGAUCAAGGAACAUAAAAUCCACCAAAUCAUAUCCUUAGGUUCGGUCGUUUGGUUUGGAUCAAGGAACAUAAAAUCCACCAAAUCAUAUCCUUAGGUUCGGCCGUUUGUUUCGGAUCAAGGAACAUAAAAUUCACUAAAUCAUGUCCUUAGAUUCGGCCGCUUGGUUCGGAUAAAGGAACAUAAAAUCCACCAAAUCAUGUCCUUAGGUUCGGCCGUUCGGUUCGGAUCAAGGAACAUAAAAUCUACCAAACCAUGUCCUUAGGUUCGGCCGCUUGGUUCGGAUCAAGGAACAUAAAAUUCACCAAAUCAUGUCCUUAGGUUUGGCCUUUUGGUUCGGAUCAAGGAACAUAUUUUUUCUUUCUUCACGUGCACAUGCCAUGUGUGGAAAAAAUCAUAAAAUGCUCUACGCAUGGGUUCCUUACAUUUGAGUUCCAUGACAUGAAAAUACGUUUCGUGCAUUGGUUCUUUCUCACCAAUUCCAUGACGCGAGUCAUUAAAUGACUAAGCCAUGAGCCAAUACACAAUUACGCUAUGUCAUGGGUUCUUCUCAUAUGAAUUCCAUGACAUCGGUUGUAAAAUAAAAAAAUACAUAGUAUCUUACGUCGUGGGUUCCUUCAUACGAAUUCCACGGCAUAAGUCACAAGUUGAUAAAAAAAUAUAAAAAAAUCUUAUGGCAUGGAUUCUUCCAUACGAAUUCCAUGGCAUGAGCCAUAAAAUAAUAAAGUUACGCUAUGACAUGGGUUCUCUCAUACGAAUUCCAUAAGAUACAACAUCCACAUAAAAAAUACACAAUUAUGCCAUGUCCUGGGUUCUUCAAAAUGAAUUCCAUGGCAUAAACCAUCAACCAAAUAGAACAUCAAUUAUGCUCCAAGCAGGGGUUCUUUGAAAUGAAUUCCAUGAUAUGAGCGUUAAAUAUUAAAAAUGCAUGGAUGCAUCCUAUGCCUGAAAACAGGGGGCCAAAUCAAGCUUGGACCAAAUCAACCUUCAUUUUAAAUCAUAACAUAAAUGAAGUUGAGCACAAACAAAAUAAUUGCAUGAUAAAGACAUAUAUGGCAAACCAUCAAACAUAACGGCGUCGAAGAUAAUCUACGCAGGUAAACUUCAAGUUCCCACGCCGGAGUUCAACGACGACCGCAAGGAGGAUUUUUUUUGUAGCAUAUUGUAAUAGGAAUGUGUGCAAUCUCGUGUAAUAGAUAUGUUUGAAUUCUUAAUCAGGGGUUUUUUCUUCGGAGAUGUAAUUAACAGUUCUUUUAUAUAAAUAUAAGAGUUCUGGAAAUAUGUACCUACAAUGUUUGAUCUUCAUUUUAUUUUAUGCAUUGUAUGCGCUUUAAAUAUAUAUAUUCACUCUGUAUCAAUGACGUGGACGCGUGUUCUACACGCUCGCCAUUUUCCCGUCAUCAGAUUCUGGCACGCCCGGUGGGACAUAUUUCUCCCCUCAUCUUUGAAUUCCAACAUAGGAUUGCAACAUAUGAGAUUCUGAAGUACAUAAGGCAUAAAACAUUAUGUACGCAUAUACCAAAAAAUAUAGACGAAGGAAACUAAUAUAUGGUUUUCUUUAUCUUGAAGGUAUGGAGAGACAGGUUCAGCNNNNNNNNNNNNNNNNNNNNNNNNNNNNNNNNNNNNNNNUGUUCAGCAGUUUGUCACUCUCCGCUUCGGUGACCUCUGGCUGGAUGUGCCGAUCGGUCCACUUGUGGCUUCAGUUAGCAGGAGUUUGGAAACAACCGCAGUAUCACCAACUGAGCCAGAAGAAAAGGAAGUCUCCUCUACAUUGAAGGAAGGGUUCACUCAUGUUCUUACAAAGUCAGCAAAGAGAAGAAUGCGUGCAGCUGCAAGAGCAUCUAGGGAUCAGCAUGUACGCAGAGCUUCUUCAUCUACUUCAGUUCCUCCUGGUUUCACAAAGAUGUCACCCACCAAGAUUAUGAGCCAUGAGGUACCAGCAAAGGUUGUUCGCAUGACACCCGAAGAGUGGCCCGUGCUUGCAAAACGGACGGGAUCACUAAAGGUUUCGUCGCCAAGACAAUCUGCUUCAACUACAUCAACCAAAGUUGCAGUGCCCCUUACACCUUCAAAGCUUAAGGUAGGUGCACACGAAGGGAUGGAAGAAAGCUCAUAUAAGCAUGUCCGAAACACCACAGGGGCAGCUCAAAGGGCUUCCUCCGCAGACAAAGGGAAAGGUAUGAUGGUUGAGGAUGACGAGUCUUCGUCACAUGAAGAAUUGGCUCGUCCAAGAAACCACCUUCGUGUCGAUGCACCUGAAUUUAUCCCCACCAUGGGCUAUAAUCCCAUUGGACCAUGCCUAGUGGGUGAGCCAAGCAAUAAACGCUCACUCCAGUGGCAUGGGGUGUUUGUCACUUUGGAUGACUUCCAAGCUGGUCAUGUGGAUCCAACUGCUACAAUAUCGGAUCCUUUGUCCUCUUCGGUGCCAGCACCAAGGCCAUCAUUUGAAGGCUCAGUUGAUCCAGCACGUCGUCGUCGUCGACAGCAGAGGGCUCACCGUGCAUGGCUUGAUUUCCCAGUGGCGACUGAUGCGAACAUGACCAAUCAACAACGGAAGCAAGUGGCAUAUCCCAUCAGAAAUAGAGAAAGGAAGACCAAUGCAAGGAUCCGUGGGGGGAGCCAUGCUAGCUUCCAUGCCAUCAUGACACAGAAUGUCUGCCAAGCUUUGAAGGAAAUACUUCCGGGCUGCUCUACCUCUGGUGAUAAUGUUGGUGGCGCCAUCAUGCGGCGUGUAGAGACUCUAUCAAAGUGGCCAGAAUAUGAAGAAUUUGUGAAGGCAAAUCCACGACGACAAGAGUAUGUGAAGCAGGCUGCUCACGCACGCAAAAAGCGGGCUGCCCUAAAGCAAAGAGAGAUGGCAGUUCGAGCAGAUUCGGGGAAUAGUAGAAUACAAGGUAGAGAUUCUCCAUCGACAAGCCAACAAAAUGGAGGACAAAGGGUGAAAGACAGGACAAGUACAUCAAGGAAAAGCGUCGAGACCCUAGCUCCAUGGCCAGCUCAUGAGAAAAUUUUAAGUAACUCAUUUGAAGUAUUCAAUGCAAUGCCAGUGGGUGUCAAAGGGGUAAUAGACAACAGUAGACAAACCUCCUCUGCAUCAACACAUUUUAAGAGGAAGAAGCCACGCAAAACUAUUGUAGAGGGUCCACGUCGUAAGACGAGAAGCCAAAAGGGGUCAGAUUAUGAAGAACUGGGGUCGAGCUAUGGAGGGUCAUAUAAUCCCGUAUCAGAUAGUACCCCGUGUCCUUCUGGAAAAGAGAUAGAACUUCAUCAAGGUGCAAAGCAUACAGAGCAAGUCCUAACAGCGAAUGAAACUCAUCCAGUUGAGGAACAACUACUCAACCUCACAGCUGCGCUUCAACAAAAAGAAGACGAGCUGGCAGCCCUUCGUGUUCAGAUGAGCAAUAACCAGAACAAAGGAAAUGAAGGAGGUGUUGGAGCAAGUGCUAGUAGCCAGCAAGGUGGUUCUGCACUUAGCCUUGAGGCAAUUCAAAGGAUGAUUGUCGAAGGUGUGAAGAGCCAGCUAAUGCAAACCCAAUAUUCUAUGCGGCCAGGAUAUGUCAAACCAUACCCACCUGACGUAGACAUGGUUCCCUUCCCAACAAAUUAUAGACAACCGCAGUUUAGCAAAUUCAAUGGGAGUGGGUCUCCUCAUGAACAUAUAGCCCACUUUCUCGCAGCUUGCCAAGAUACGGCUCAUAAUGGAGAACUCCUCCUUAGGCAGUUCGUGCAGAUGUUGUCUGGGCCUGCCUUCACUUGGUAUAGCAAGUUGACUCCAAGUUCCAUAAAAACUUGGGAGCAAAUGCAGAAUUUAUUUCUUGAGCGGUUUUACAGCACUAAGAGGACUGUGGGUAUCACUGAGCUAACUCAAAUCGAGCAAGGGUUUAAUGAGAAGGCAGCUGAUUUUAUAAAUAGAUGGAGAAAUCUAAGUCUUCAUUGUCCACAACCAAUCACUGAGCUAGAGGCAGUGCGUAUGUGCAUGAAUAAUCUUCGCACAACAGUGGUUGUCCAGUUGCAAGGAGUGAGACCUCUUACUUUUGAAGAGUUGGCUUCAAAAUCCAUGGACAUAGAAAAUUUUAUGCAUCAUGUCGCUCGUCGAACAAAAACACCGUUCAACAAGCCUGCAGAAAAAGGUACACAACGAGAAAAAAUGUCGAUGAAGCCCAAAUCAGCGCAAGCCAUGGAAGCAACAGCAGUGAGAUCUCAGUUUCAACCUGGAAGAACACCUAUAAGGAACCAAGGACAGAAAGAUGCACAAGUUGGUAGGAGGCCAACUCUUAGCGAACGAAAAAACAUGGAGUAUUCCUUCCCUGUAGAAGAAAUUCAUGAUCAUUUCAGGGGCUUACGGGAGCUGAAACUUAUAGAGCUACCUAAGUCAAAAAGGCCAGAAGAGCCCAAUAUGUUUAAUGCGCCAAACUUCUGUCCUUACCACUGCAUAUUAGGCCAUACACUUGAUAAUUUCUUUGUGGUAAAAAAUAUCAUCCAGAAAAUGAUCGACGAGGGGACUAUUGAUACGGACCUCCUCACAAGCUUAAAGAAAGGAAAGAAGAUGGAUGCAGCAAAUGUCGCCACUCUUCAAGAUAGCUCGGUGAGUUGUGCACCUUCAAAUAUGAGGCCAACUUAUGGUGACAUGAUGUUCUCAUCAGGAUAUGAACUUGCUCCAAUAAUCUCUCCAGGCUUCAUCUCGGACGACGGUCAUGGGACCACGCCACAGAGUCAGCGUAAAAGAGAGGCUCACUUUCCCUGCAAAUAUGAUGAAUGGCUCAGUCUACCAGCUUCGCAUGGACCCCAAGAAUGGAGGGAGCAGCGGCCAAAAUGCCGUCCACUAGCCCGAGUGAUGGAAGAUGUCGCUCCUCCGCGCUUCGUGCCAAAGAUAUAUCAGCACAGGACGAAGCGCAUGAAGGUUCCGACAAGUGAAGAAUUCAACAUUCUCACUAUAGAUGUGUUUGAGGAUGAUAGCGAGUCUCUUCAUUUCCCUGAAGAAGAUGCGCCAGAAGUGGACCAGGUCCACCUUAGAUCAGGUCGCCAGUUAGUUGACCCACAUCCUCCACAUAGAAAGGAGCCUAGAAACAAAGAUGUAGCUGAGAAUGAGACAAUGGACCCGCCCUCUGAGGUGUCGGUCAAGUAUGAUGUAAUCUCGCAUUUGAAGAAAAUACCAGCUAUGCUUUCUGUGUAUGAUGCUUUGUCUCUUUCUUUGGAUUUACAUAAGGCACUAGUUACUGCAUUGUCAUUUCCUGAAGAUUAUAGAGUGGAAGUCUCACAGACAGAAGCUGAACUAAGUAAUGUGUUAAAUAUUACAUUCACGGAGGAAGACAUGUUGUUAGGCUCAAAGAAGCAUAAUAGACCUCUCCUGAUGUUUGGUGAGAUUGAUGACUUGCCAACGAAUCGCAUCAUGAUAGAUGGCGGAUCCGCCAUAAAUUUGUUGCCCCUGCGUACUUUGAAGAGGAUAGGGUAUUCACCUAAGGACCUGAGCCAAUCAAAUGUGGUUAUUCAUGGCUUUAAUCAGUCAGGUUAGGAAGCCAUGGGUACCAUCUCAUUAGUAUUGAAGUUGGAAGCAUUGUCCACAUAUGUGAAAUUCCACGUAAUUGAUGCAGCUACUUCAUACAAUGCACUGCUAGGCCGACCAUGGCUACAUGAAAAUCAAGUUGUACCAUCCACGCUUCAUGAGUGUAUCAAGUAUAAAGAGCAGUCUGGGGAAACAAUGAGAAUAUUUGCAGAUAAGAGACUAUUCACUGUGGCUGAAUCCUUCUAUGCAGAUGCAAAAUUCUAUUUUGAGCCAGUUGAAAAAGUAUACAAACCAAAGUCUGUAGUAGUACCCGAGUCAAAUGUGGUAGAGAAAAGUAUUGCAGAAUCCUCGUCCGGACGAAAGAUUUACCCGUAUAUACCAAGUGACCAAAGAAAAGAAGGUGACCCAAUAUUUCGCGUCAUCAAUAAAUCAUCCAUCAAAAGAGGUACCAAAAUGACUGUUAUCUUACCUCCUUUGGUUCAACAUAAAAUUGAACAAGAUAAAGAGGAGUUGCCUAAUCGAGAAAAUAAAAAUCAUAAUGUGGUGCAUAUCUCCGUGCAUAAUAAAGAUGAUGAUUCAUUGCCUAUUGCUUUGUAUGAUAACCGAGUCUUGUAUAUGAUGCAGAAAAUGGGCUAUGACACUCUUAGUGGCCCAUCUUUAUGCGAUGGCCGGGGACAGCGGGCGCCAUUUGAAAUGGCGUUGUCACCGGAACAACUCGAAGCUCUACAUGAAGGCCAUCCUUUGAAAGGAAAAAGACAUGGGCUAGGCUAUGAGGUUUGCAUGACCUCAAUCGAGUUUACGGAACCAACCAAGGCAUCCCCACAAAUGGAGGAUGGUAAUCAGCCAACUAUUGAUGAUUUGGAGGAAAUAAAUAUCGGGACAGCCGAGGAGCCUCGACCAAUUUUUAUUGGUGUGCAUUUAUAUAAAGAAAAGAAAGAGGAGUAUCAUAAGUUCCUUUCCGCGAACAAAGAUGUCUUCGCAUGGACCUACGAAGAAAUGCCUGGCUUGGAUCCAGAAGUGGCGGUGCAUCGUCUUGCCGUGCAAGAUGAUAUUCUGCCCGUAAAACAAGCACAAAGGAGAUUUCGACCCGAGCUACUUCCCAAAAUAGAAGCCGAGGUUGACAAACUGAUAGCUGCUGGAUUCAUUAGAGAGGUUAAAUAUCCUAAGUGGCUUUCCAAUAUUGUUUCAGUUAAAAAGAAAAAUGGUCAAAUUCGUGUAUGUGUAGACUUUAGAGACUUAAAUAAAGCAUGCCCUAAGGAUGAUUUUCCGAUACCGAUAUCUGAAUUACUCGUUGAUGCUACCAUGCACCACGAAAUGUUUUCUUUUAUGGAUGGGUAUUCCGGAUAUAAUCAAAUAAAAAUGGCCCCAGAGGAUGAAGAGUUAACGGCUUUUAGGACGCCCAAAGGCAUAUUUUGUUACAAAGUCAUGCCAUUUGGACUAAAAAACACCGGGGCAACAUAUCAACGAGCUAUGACUAUAGUUUUAGAUGGAUUAUUAUAUGUUAUCGUUGAAUGUUACAUAGAUGACAUAGUGGUAAAAUCAAAACGUGAGGAAGACCAUAUAAAACAUCUUGAAAUGGUUUUCGAGCGUUUGAGGGAACAUAACUUGAAAAUGAACCCCAUGAAAUGUGCAUUUGGAGUUUCUUCUGGGAAAUUUCUCGGUUUUGUGGUUACAAAGAAUGGGAUUCAAGUCGACCCAGAUAAGGUAAAAGCAAUUGUUAAGAUACCACCACCCACAAACCUACACGAAUUAAAAAGUUUCCAAGGUCACCUAGCAUAUAUUAGGAGGUUUAUCUCGAACUUAGCGGGACGAUGCAAACCUUUCUCACGUCUCAUGAAAAAGGGUGUCCCGUUUGAGUGGGAUCGAGCAUGCCAAAAUGCAUUCUUGGACAUUAAAAAAUACUUAAUACACCCACCCAUCUUGGGUGCACCAGUUAGGGAACACCCUUUGAUCCUAUAUACAGCGGCCAUGCCUAUGUCGUUGGGUGCUCUUUUGGCACAAAAUAAUGAGUCCGGAAAAGAAAUGUCACUAUAUUAUCUUAGUUGCACCCUUGUGGGGGCUGAGUGCAAUUAUCCGGACAUGGAUAAAAUAUGUCUGGCAUUAGUAUUUGCAGCAAAAAAAUUACGUCAUUACAUGCUAGAACACACUGUACACCUUGUGUCAAGAGCAGGUCCUCUUAGAUAUAUAUUAAACAAAAUGGUGCUUUCAGGUAGAUUAGCUAAGUGGGCGAUGUUUUUGUCACAAUUUGAUAUAAAAUUUGUGCCACAAAAGGCCAUGAAGGGACAAGCAUUAGCUAACUUCCUAGCCACACAUCCAAUACCCGAUGAUUUCCCCAUAUAUGAUGACUUGCCUGAUGAAGAGGUGUUCGCUACAUCGGUUGCUUGUUCGUCAUGGCAAAUGUACUUUGAUGGAGCAUAUCAGCGAUCCGGGGCAGGUGCGGGAGUUGUGUUUGUCACACCAAGAGAAGGAAUAAUCCCAUACUCCUUUACCCUAACUUCAGCAGUUUCAAAUAAUUCAGCUGAAUAUGAGGCUUUGAUAAUUGGGCCGGAAUUGGCUCUAAAAAUGGGGGUUAGACUCACUCACGGUAUACGGUGACUCUCAGUUAGUGAUCAACCAAUUAAUGGGAAUUUACAUGGUAAAGAAAGAGGAAUUAAUGCCUUACUUCCAACGAGCCAAAACGCUCAUGUCCAUGUUUGUUGAUCUAAAUAUUCAGCAUGUUAUAAGAAGUCAAAAUGAAAAGGCCGAUGCAUUAGCAGGUUUAGCUGCUAGUAUGUCAUUAAGUUCACAUCAAAUGAUGGACGUUCGUGUUGAAGAAUGCAGAAUCCUACCUAUACUCGCCGAAGAGGAAGAGACGACGACAUCACUUGCAAUGACUACAGACAUCUACGAGAUUGAAGUCGGAGAUUGGCGAAGCCCCUUCCUGGAAUACUUGCUCCAUGGAUAUUUACCUUUAGACUCUGCAGAAAGAUCUAGAGUUCGAAAAAGGUCAGUCCACUAUACAUGUAUAAAUGACACCCUGUAUAGGCGUUCUUUUGAUGGCAUCCUCCUUCGUUGUUUGGCGGGGAAUGAAAUUUUGGAAGCCAUAAAUGAAGUACACGCCGGGGUGUGUGGGGCACAUCAAUCGGGCCCAAAGUUAUAUUAUCAACUCCGACAUCUUGGUUAUUAUUGGCCUACCAUGUUCGACGACGCCAUGAAAUUUGCAAAAAGGUGUCAUGAGUGCCAAAUACACGGUAAUUUCAUACAUCAACCUCAUGAAUCGUUGCAUCCCACAAAUAUGGCAUGGCCGUUUGAAAUGUGGGGAAUGGAUAUAGUAGGGCCUAUUAGUCCGCCAUCGUCAAAAGGCCACAAAUUUAUCUCGGCUGCCACUGAUUAUUUCUCCAAAUGGGCUGAGCUUAUACCAUUAAAAGAGGAUAAGGGAGAAUAUGUGGAAUACUUUAUAAGGACACAUCUUAUAUAUCGCUUCGGAGUUCCUUCCCGUAUCAUGUCUGACAACGGAGGACCAUUCAAAAACAAACAUAUUGAUAAGUUAUGUUCGAAAUUUAAGAUAAGUCAUCAUUAUUUUACGGCUUAUAAUCCGGCAGCUAAUGGACAAGCCGAAGCUUUUAAUAAAACCCUAUGUAAAUUGUUAAAGAAAGUUGUGUCAAGGAAUAAGCGUGGGUGGCAUGAGAAACUCCUUGAGGCCUUGUGGGCUUACAGGACCACAACACGUACACCAACUGGAAUGACUCCUUACGCCCUUGUGUUUGGUGGAGAGGCGGUUCUACCAUUAGAAGUAUAAAUUACUUCGCUCAGAGUCGCUAUUCAGGAGAAACUUUCUGAAGAAGAAGCCAUAAAAUUACGCCUCGGUGAGCUUGAAUUACUCGAGGGUAAACGCCUUCAGGUGCUACAAAAUUUGGAAGCAUAUCAGGCUAGAAUGUCUCGUGCUUUCGACAAGCGUGUUAAAAGAAGGUCAUUCAAGCAAGGAGACCUAGUGCUCGCCGUCAUCCGUCCCAUGAAUGUUGCAAGACGCAUGGGAGGAAAGUUUGAGCCAAAAUGGGAGGGUCCCUACAUCGUAAAAGAAGUCUACUCUAGUGGUGCUUACCGGAUAAUUUCCCCAGACGGCGAGUACUGUCCGCCACCGAUAAACGGGAAAUUCCUGAAGCGUUACUAUGCUUAAAAAAGAAAUAUACUCCAAUAAACUUACGAGUAUAAACUGUGAUGCACCCAAAAAAAUAUACUCCAUACCCUCAUGAGUCUAAACUGGGCACUCAAAGAAAAUAUACUCCAAUAAAUUACGAGUCUAAACUGUGAUGCGAAAAGAAAAGCAAAUGUACUCCAUACCCCACGAGUCUAAACUGGGGCACUCAAAGAAAAUAUACUCCAAUAAUUUACGAGUCUAAACUGUGAUGCGAAAGGAAAAGCAAAUGUACUCCAUACGCCCACAAGUCUAAACUGGGGCACUCAAAGAAAAUAUACUUCAAUAACUUACGAGUCUAAAAUGUGAUGUAAAAAAGAAAAGCAAAUGUACUUCAUACCCUCACGAGUAUAAACUGGGGCACCCAAAAAAAAUAUACUUCAUACCUUCACGAGUAUAAACUGGGCACACCUAAAGAAAAUAUAUUCUAUAGCCUCACAAGCCUAAAGUGAGGCACCUUAAAAGGAAGACAUACUCCACACCCUCAUGAGUAUAAACUGAUGUACUAUACAAAAUUAAUACAGUAACUACGGAUCUAAACUGUGUGCUAUAUAUGAAAAGCAAUUACCAUAACCCUCAUGAGUAUAAACGGGAGCGCAUAAAAUAAUACUCCAAUAGCUUAAGAGUAUAAACUGUGGUGCAACAAACGAUGGAAAUUAAAUAUUCAUCGAGAAAAUGAAGUUCACGCUUAUGCAUAUAGGAGUAAAUACUCCUAACAUCAAAUGAAUAAGCAUAUGUCUAUAAAUGCUCUAAUACUUCAAGAGGCAAAACCAGCACGUACAAACUGCUCCAAUAUGAGCCUACACUAUAAGCAUACUCUAAAAUGUUAAAACUAAAACAACCCUCAUGAGUUUAAACUCCGAGAUGUCAAGUACAACUGCACUAAAAAAAAAUCCAAGCUUAAAUUGAAAAUAAAAAAAAUGCAUUGUGUAGAUACCAAAAAAACUGCAUAGCCAUGUAUAGCUGGCAUAUUAUAAAAUCAGACACUUAAAAAUGGGAAUAUUAUAAAAAAGACAUGAUGUCACAUAUGCAUGAAAAUACUUCAAGAACAAAAGAGAUUGUCAAGUUUCGAGCUCUGGACCCGAAUCAAAAUAUCUCUUCGGACCCAAACCUCGAGGGGCAUCUAUUGACAUGGCUUUUGACCAAGAUAAAAUAAAACACAUAAACCACAUAAAAUAUAAAUGCAAAUCAGCUAAAAUCUGUUUAUAAUGAAAAUAAGAAAUUAAGAGGAAUAUGUAAUCAACCGUUCAAAUUUAGGACCGACAAAAAUAGUCAUACGAUACAUUUUUGACUGUCGAUAAUGCACGCAUUAAACCGACAAUUAUAAAAUAUGACGAUAAUAAAUAAACAAUCAUCAAAUUUUCUUGCCUAAAAAAAAGGAGGGGGUCACAUAGCUCGCACGUAUGCACGCCGUCACCAAUGACGACAAUGCCAACAUAAAAUUGUCGUGAGUAACAUUAAUAUCCCCAAAAUAUGGAUUGUAUGAUAAAUGUUUGACCCUAUUCCAUCGACAAGGUGAAAUAUUGAAGCGAUACAUAAAAGUUAUAUCACACUAAUAAAAUAUGUGCAAUCUACUCUGUCAAAUGUACAUCUCAUAUCACAUGUGGUGCUACACCUUAAGUUUCAUACAAAGAAUUAAUUAACGCGUGUAUACCCACACCACAAGCCUUCUAAACCGUGAUGGAGGAAGUAUAUGAUAAAUGUUUGACAUGAUUCGAUCGAUAAGGUGAAAUAUAGUCACGACACAUAAGAAAUGCCGCGCUAAUGAAAUGUAUAUAUGUCGUGCGCUUUGUCAAGUGUUCAUCUCACAACACAUACGGCACUAGGCCUUGUGUUACAUGCAAAAGUAAUAAUAAUUAGCAUGCACACUUCUAUUCUAAGCCUUAGUAAGCAAUUAAUAACUAAUCAAGUUUGUCUCAUUAAAAAAAUGGCCAUGCAUGCAUGGCCGUAGCUCCCAAAAGGCUGUUGUUCCCUGUUUAAGAAAAAGUGAUGUGCAUGCAUGUAUAUGGGUGAGGUGUUCCUAAGGCCCACAUGUUGAUAAAGAAAAAACUCAAGCCCAGAUUGACUAAUUAGGCUGCCGGCUAAUUAGCAAAUAAAGAAAUAGAAAAAAGAAAGGAGGUGUUCCCACGAUCACACACAACGCCACGAUCAGUGGACGUGGGCGGGCGCGCAAUCAGCCACGGCUUAUCGCUGCUGCUCUCGCCUGCUAUAAAUACUCUCAUCACCUAGCACACUGGGAGGUUGGAUCCAUUUUUUGCACUCGCUGCCGGCAUCCAUUCAUCUCCUGCUACUGCUAGUCACAAUACGCGCAUACGAACACACAAGAAAAAGAAGAAGCAGGGAGGCCAGCGAUCGACUUGUCCACGUGAGAAGGUGAGAUAUGAUGAUGGUCUCAUCUCCUUAGUUUCGGCCGCUUGGUUCGGAUCAAGGAGCUCUCUCUUCUCACAUAUGAAAUAUUGUUUUUAGUUUCGGCCGCUUGGUUCGGAUCAAGGAGCUCUCUCUUCUCACAUAUGAAAUAUUGUCGUUAGUUUCUGCCGCUUGGUUCGGAUCAAGGAGUUCUUUCUUCUCACAUAUGAAAUAGUUAGUUUCUGCCGCUUGGUUCGGAUCAAGGAGUUCUUUCUUCUCACAUAUGAAAUAUUGUACUUAGUUUCGGCCGCUUGGUUCGGAUCAAGGAGUUCUUUCUUCUCACAUAUGGAAUAUUGUCCUUAGGUUCGGCCGUUUGAUUCGGAUCAAGGAACAUAAAAUUCACUAAAUUAUGUUCUUCGGUUCAGCCGCUUGGUUCGGAUCAAGGAACAUAAAAUCCACUAAAUCAUAUCCUUAGGUUCGGCCAUUUUGUUCGGAUCAAGGAACAUAAAAUCCACUAAAUCAUGUCCUUCGGUUCGACUGCUUGGUUCGGAUCAAGGAACAUAAAAUCCACCAAAUCAUAUCCUUAGGUUCAACCGUUUGGUUCGGAUCAAGGAACAUAAAAUCCACCAAAUCAUAUCCUUAGGUUCAACCGUUUGGUUCGGAUCAAGGAACAUAAAAAUCCACUAAAUCAUGUCCUUCAGUUCGGACGCUUGGUUCGGAUCAAGGAACAUAAAAUCCACCAAAGCAUAUCCUUAGGUUCGGCCGUUUGGUUCGGAUCAAGGAACAUAAAAUCCACCAAAUCAUAUCCUUAGGUUCGGCCGUUUGGUUCGGAUCAAGGAACAUAAAAUCCACCAAAUCAUAUCCUUAGGUUCGGCCGUUUGGUUCGGAUCAAGGAACAUAAAAUCCACCAAAUCAUAUCCUUAGGUUCGACCGUUUGUUUCGGAUCAAGGAACAUAAAAUUCACUAAAUCAUGUCCUUAGAUUCGGCCGCUUGGUUCGGAUAAAGGAACAUAAAAUCCACCAAAUCAUGUCCUUAGGUUCGGCCGUUCGGUUCGGAUCAAGGAACAUAAAAUCUACCAAACCAUAUCCUUAGGUUCGGCCGCUUGGUUCGGAUCAAGGAACAUAAAAUUCACCAAAUCAUGUCCUUAGGUUUGGUCUUUUGGUUCGGAU